Papaver somniferum (opium poppy) is the source of this 1161-nucleotide long non-coding RNA. RefSeq lists it as uncharacterized. The record is from RefSeq and is a predicted model, not a curated record. Lineage: Eukaryota; Viridiplantae; Streptophyta; Magnoliopsida; Ranunculales; Papaveraceae. The transcript has 3 exons.
GAAAAUUUCAAAACUCAGAAAUUCUAUCAACUCCCUUCUCAGUCUUUCGAUCCACUUAACUCAGAAUUGAAUUUUUGUCUGUUCUCAGAAUCGAAGGAGAAGAAUCAGUGCAAAUACUUGAAGAUACUUGAAGAUUCGAUUGAAAGGUACAAUCAAUGGGUUCUGGUAGACCGCCCAAGAAGGGGCGCCAUGAUGGGAAUCUGAGUGAGAAUGAGAAAUUGAUGGACCUCGAAGUAAAACCCAUAUAUUUUGAGUCGAAAUCUGCAGGUCCUGCAGAGCACAAGUAUAUAUGACAUACCAACAAGGCAGUUUUAUUGCGCUCAGAUAAUUUUUUUCAAUAUUGCAGUUUUGAGAACUCAUCUAAUAAUUAUUAGUAACUUGUUCAACGUUUCUUUCGACUUUAUAUUGUGUUUCGCAUUAGUUUUUUCUACCCUUCAAAGCACCGGGGACGAACCAGCAACACAAGCACAUACUCCAGCUUGGGUUCACAAGUUGUCUGAAGAAGAGAUGGCCCUAUUCAAGACAACUGCAAUAGGGCACUUAACAGACAUUCCACGAGAUCAAAGUUGGUCUAAAGCCAUAUUUUGUUUUCUGAUGAUUCGGCAGAUCAAAGUCGAACCUGGAAAAUAUUUGAAUAAUGAGAUCAUUUUUAGAGUUAAGGAUAAAGAAUUGUUCUUUGGAAAAGCGGAAUUUUCUCUAAUAUCUGGAAUUAGAUUCCGGGAUUUGAGGGAUGGACAUUUUGGUUUUGACUCUCCAUUAAAGACGUCAUGGCUAAAGCAUAAGUAUUUUUCAGCUGAUAACAGAAUCACCGGAGGGCACUUGUAUGACUUUCUUUUUUUCAAUACAGUCUUCAAGGACCGGGCAAAGGUUGUCGGAGCAAUUAAAAUCGUAUCGGAUAAAAUGUGGCGUCAUCUCUGGAAUUGUGAAGAGAGUGAAACGGUUCACUGCGAAUCUAAUGAUAGGGUGAAGGUGUAAUUAGUGUAUGUGGUACAAAUGUUCUUGUUGGGGCACCAAGACAUCCAUGGUAUAGAAGAAGAUCUUUGGGACUUGAACCUUUCAGAGUUCAACAAGUACCCAUGGGCCGGAAGGGUGCACGAGGCCACUCAACAAAAACGUGACAAUGCAUUUAAACCUUCUAUCAAUCCAAAAGGAAUGCCACAA